GAUGAACGCUGGCGGCGUGCCUAAUACAUGCAAGUCGAGCGAACGGACGAGAAGCUUGCUUUUCUGAUGUUAGCGGCGGACGGGUGAGUAACACGUGGAUAACCUACCUAUAAGACUGGGAUAACUUCGGGAAACCGGAGCUAAUACCGGAUAAUAUUUUGAACCGCAUGGUUCAAAAGUGAAAGACGGUCUUGCUGUCACUUAUAGAUGGAUCCGCGCUGCAUUAGCUAGUUGGUAAGGUAACGGCUUACCAAGGCAACGAUGCAUAGCCGACCUGAGAGGGUGCUCGGCCACACUGGAACUGAGACACGGUCCAGACUCCUACGGGAGGCAGCAGUAGGGAAUCUUCCGCAAUGGGCGAAAGCCUGACGGAGCACCGCCGCGUGAGUGAUGAAGUUCUUCGGAUCGUAAAACUCUGUUAUUAGGGAAGAACAUAUGUGUAAGUAACUGUGCACAUCUUGACGGUACCUAAUCAGAAAGCCACGGCUAACUACGUG
This 497-nucleotide ribosomal RNA is filed under the name uncultured bacterium. Its description in RNAcentral is "partial 16S ribosomal RNA". It matches the Rfam family "Bacterial small subunit ribosomal RNA", at positions 28 to 507 of the family's 1533-position model. The record is from RNAcentral.